UACGUAGGGAGCAAGCGUUGUUCGGAUUUACUGGGCGUAAAGGGCGCGUAGGCGGCAUAUUAAGUCAUCUGUGAAAUCUCCGAGCUUAACUCGGAACUGUCAGCUGAUACUGAUGUGCUAGAGUGCGGAAGGGGCAAUCGGAAUUCUUGGUGUAGCGGUGAAAUGCGUAGAUAUCAAGAGGAACACCUGAGGUGAAGACGGGUUGCUGGGCAGUAACUGACGCUGAGGAGCGAAAGCGUGGGGAGCGAACAGG
RNAcentral lists this ribosomal RNA (253 nucleotides) under uncultured bacterium. Its description in RNAcentral is "partial 16S ribosomal RNA". It matches the Rfam family "Bacterial small subunit ribosomal RNA", at positions 524 to 776 of the family's 1533-position model. The record is from RNAcentral.